UCUUAUCAAGAGAGGUUGAGGGAAUGGCCCAAUGACACCUCAGCAACCACCGUAUCAAAGCGGAAAGGUGCUAAAUCCUACAAGUUGUUCCCAACUUGAAAGAUGAGA
This 108-nucleotide non-coding RNA is filed under the name uncultured Siminovitchia sp. RNAcentral describes it as "SAM riboswitch (S box leader)". It matches the Rfam family "SAM riboswitch aptamer (S box leader)". Rfam says of the family: The SAM riboswitch is found upstream of a number of genes which code for proteins involved in methionine or cysteine biosynthesis in Gram-positive bacteria. The record is from RNAcentral. Lineage: Bacteria; Bacillati; Bacillota; Bacilli; Caryophanales; Bacillaceae.